This 859-nucleotide ribosomal RNA is filed under the name uncultured bacterium. RNAcentral's name for it is "bacterial SSU rRNA". It matches the Rfam family "Bacterial small subunit ribosomal RNA", at positions 521 to 1397 of the family's 1533-position model. The record is from RNAcentral.
UAAUACGUAGGGGGCAAGCUUAUCCGGAAUUAUUGGGCGUAAAGAGUGCGUAGGUGGUUACGUAAGCGCAAGGUUUAAUUUGAGGCUCAACCUCAUUCUGCCUUGCGAACUGGGCUACUUGAGUGCUGGAGGGGAAAGCGAAUUCCCCAGUGUAGCGGUGAAAUGCGUAGAUAUUGGGAAGAACACCUGUGGCGAAGGCGCUUUCUGGACAGUAACUGACACUGAGGCACGAAAGCGUGGGGAGCAAACAGGAUUAGAUCCCUGGUAGUCCACGCCGUAAACGAUGAGCACUAGUUGUUGGGUCCGAAUGGAUUCAGUGCGCAGUUAACGCAAUAAGUGCUCCGCCUGGGGAGUACGGUGGCAACACUAAAACUCAAAGAAUUGACGGGGACCCGCACAAGCAGCGGAGCAUGUGGUUUAAUUCGAAGCAACGCGAAAACCUUACCAGGGCUUGACAUCCCUCUGAAAGCUUCCUUAACCGGAAGCCCCCUUCGGGCAGGGUGACAGGUGGUGCAUGGUUGUCGUCAGCUCGUGUCGUGAGAUGUUGGGUUAAGUCCCGAACGAGCGCAACCCUUGUCGUCAGUUACUAACAUUUGGUUGAGGACUCUGGCGAGACUGCGAGGUUAACUCGGAGGAAGGUGGGGAUGACGUCAAAUCAUCAUGCCCCUUAUGUUCUGGGUACACACGUGCUACAAUGGUCGGUACAAUGAGAAGCAAGAUGGCGACAUGGAGCAAAUCACAAAACCGAUCCCAGUUCGGAUUGCAGGCUGCAACUCGCCUGCAUGAAGUCGGAGUUGCUGUAAUCGCGAAUCAGCAUGUCGCGGUGAAUGCGUUCCCGGGUCUUGCACACACCGCCCGU